Molecule: ribosomal RNA, 253 nt
Filed under: uncultured bacterium
Lineage: Bacteria
Description: partial 16S ribosomal RNA
Rfam family: Bacterial small subunit ribosomal RNA
Source: RNAcentral
UACGGGGGGGGCAAGCGUUGUUCGGAAUCAUUGGGCGUAAAGCGCGUGUAGGCGGUCCGGUAAGUCCGCUGUGAAAGUCGGGGGCUCAACCCUCGGAUGCCGGUGGAUACUGUCGGGCUUGAGUACGGAAGAGGCGAGUGGAAUUCCUGGUGUAGCGGUGAAAUGCGCAGAUAUCAGGAGGAACACCAAUUGCGAAGGCAGCUCGCUGGGACGUUACUGACGCUGAGGAGCGAAAGCGUGGGGAGCGAACAGG